Long non-coding RNA from Gasterosteus aculeatus aculeatus (three-spined stickleback), 1471 nucleotides. NCBI's taxonomy places the organism in Eukaryota, Metazoa, Chordata, Actinopteri, Perciformes, Gasterosteidae. The record is from Ensembl.
GAACAUUACACACUAUAGAGGGAUUUGAACACGGCCACAAGCAGCGGUGACCUUUGACCCUUCAUACCAGGGAGUUAGGACAGGGAGGCCAGGCUGGAUUGGGGAUAAAAGACACACACACACACACACACAUACCGGAUAACCUCCUCCAAUGCUGACACAGGAACAAAUAAAGAAUCAAUAUGAUUUGCAUUAUUUACGAAACAGAAAUAAUUCUGACAUAAAUGUGACAAAAACGCCUGCAUCCAUUCAGGCCUCAGCUUGUUGAUUACUGAUGUCAAUGUAAUUGCCCCAUUGCCAAAGUUGACAGAUUCUCUCACCUCAGUUCGGGGAUAUGUGUCAAACGUCAGAUGGAUGAACAUAUUGCCUUGCUGCAGGGCACGCAGGCACUAGAGGCUGUAUGUUAGCCAGAUAGGAGUGGAACAGCUUCUUUUCUUCUGCUCUUCAAGUGAAGUUUCUCUGAUUGGGUGCGUGGAAAAUAUAAUGGGCCACUUUUGUUUGUGUGUGUGUGUGUGUGUGUGUGUGUGUGUGUGUGUGGGGUGGGCAACUGCUAGAUAAGGUUUUCUCUCAACUCUUACUUCUUUAUGUCUCGUAUUGCAAAAAGGCAGAAUCACUAUCUUGAUUUGAAAUGUGGCCAUUAUGUCUAUAGUGACUUUAAAUUCCUUAGUUUGAUUCAUAUUUGCAUCGAGAAAGAUACAGGGAGCUUCUCAGUAUUGUAGUUAUUUUCUGUUUUUUGUACAGUUCCAUGGUUCAUUGGGACUUAUUUGGAUUAAAACCAAUCUUUAUCAUUAGCAUAAUAUUAUUGUGAUGUAAAAUGAUUUUACUUUUUUAUUAUUUUAUUUCGUGGUGUUUCUUUAUCCCAUCAAUCUGUUUGCUGGAUGAUGCAUGGCUCACAAGGGUUUUGCUAAGAUAUUAGCUGGAAAGUGUCCUGUUAAAUAUGUUUUUCUCUCUCAAGCCAUCUUUGUCAAAAAAUGCUCCUGUUGAUCCGAUACGAUCUGCAUGGUGCAGUAAAUCCUCGAUAAUAAUUUGGCCUGAUUGAGACUUGUUUGGAGUGUAAUCUGAGUUGCUUCUCACCCUCUGGGCCAAAGAGCGCCUGAAACUAGCUUUUAAAUAUGGCUGUUUUCAUGUAUACGUUGAAGUACAAAGGUCACCAAGCAUCACCCCGAAUUUAUACUUUUACACAACUAAUGAAUGCAUUCUAAUAGCGCCAUCUUUUGAAUGUCCACGACGUGAGGAACUUUAGGUCCUACAGGUCGCACUAUGUCACCGUAUUUGAGUUAUUUUUGUAUCUUUAUAAUUCUUCUUGUGACCUCUCUCAGAAAUGACCCGAGACCUGCAGCUUACCUCCGGUUCAUCCAACCAUCGUGACCCGCGUUUCCAAAUCGCCUCCCUGGACUCGAGGCUUAUAAUGCCGGCGAACGGAUUUGUGAAUGUAUGAUUGGAUGACGCGUUAAUUCAUGUGCGACUUUCA